Molecule: ribosomal RNA, 595 nt
Filed under: uncultured Bacteroidota bacterium
Lineage: Bacteria; Pseudomonadati; Bacteroidota
Description: bacterial SSU rRNA
Rfam family: Bacterial small subunit ribosomal RNA
Source: RNAcentral
CAACCUACCUAUCAGAGGGGAAUAACCCGGCGAAAGUCGGACUAAUACCGCAUAAAACAGGGGCACCGNAUGGUGAUAUUUGUUAAAGAAAUUCGCUGAUAGAUGGGCAUGCGUUCCAUUAGGUAGUUGGUGAGGUAACGGCUCACCAAGCCGACGAUGGAUAGGGGAACUGAGAGGUUGGUCCCCCACACUGGUACUGAGACACGGACCAGACUCCUACGGGAGGCAGCAGUGAGGAAUAUUGGUCAAUGGGCGGGAGCCUGAACCAGCCAAGUCGCGUGAAGGAAGAAGGAUCUAUGGUUCGUAAACUUCUUUUGCAGGGGAAUAAAGUGCAGGACGUGUCCUGUUUUGUAUGUACCCUGAGAAUAAGGAUCGGCUAACUCCGUGCCAGCAGCCGCGGUAAUACGGAGGAUCCGAGCGUUAUCCGGAUUUAUUGGGUUUAAAGGGUGCGUAGGUGGUUUGAUAAGUCAGCGGUGAAAGUUUGCAGCUUAACUGUAAAAAUGCCGUUGAAACUGUCGGACUUGAGUGUAAAUGAGGUAGGCGGAAUGCGUGGUGUAGCGGUGAAAUGCAUAGAUAUCACGAAGAACUCCGAUUG